CUCCCAUUCCACGUGCUGGGGGGCAUCUGAAGUAUGCAGAUAGUUAUCUGUGAUGGUUCUGGAAUUAAUUCUAUUAUAACCAAUGAGUAUCUUUACUCCUGAUGGUAGCAAAGAGACGAUGAAAACCAGAGCAGGGGUUCUAUAGAGUUAGGUGUUUGGGACGAUUAAGGAAAACAACCCUACCCUUUGGGCUCAUUCAUCAUAGCCCAGGAACAUAGUCCAGGAACAAAUUCCUUUCUUCUUGCAGGUGCAGCUAAAGUCUGUCUGAUCGGUCCAGAUGAAAGCGGAUUUUUAGUCUUGAAUUCAUAGGGUCAUAGCUGCUUAUCACAUCAGAUUUGGUUUCAGAAAUCAGAACACUGACAGGAGCUUCUGUAAUCAGUGUCCAGGCACAGAAAUUGCAGGGUUCUCAGCUCUAGGGCACUGGGAGCCAGAGGUAGAAGGGAUGUUGGCUAUUCAUGUUCUGCACUAAGAGGCCAUAUUCAUGUCUCCUCUUCCCAGACCAGAGUGGCAGGAACCAGCUUCCACAGAGUCCUGCUGGACAGCCAAACAAAUCCCCCGCCAUUCUCCUUCAACAACUUCUAAAUACAAGUCCAAUUUUUAUUGGACCUGUAUCCAUAAUCAAAUGAUUAACACAGAAUAAGGGAGACAAAGAGAAGGAAAUACUUUUCAUCUACAAAGUGUAUUUGAACAUUUCAUGUUACUUACCUGUGCAUUCAGGGUUUCUUCUGGAUGGUGUGACCGAUGACAGGUGUGACUUCUUAGGAUCUUAGAUUCAGAGGGAGACUUGGAGAUCAAUCUUCUGUCUCCUCAACCGGAUUCUGCCAAAAGGACAAUGUUAGAUUAAAAUACUUCUCAAAAUCUUUAAAUUAUAAGUUUUGCCCAUGGACAUCAAACUAAAACGUGGAAGCAAUUAUCCAGAUUUUAAGGCAAUGCUGUAGGAAGACUUGAAGAAUGCAGCACAUGAGCUAGGACCUGCAGAAUAGGGUGCUGAUAAUGGUACAAGAUCACUGUGCAAGUUAAAAGUGGCUGGCAUGGACAGUGACCAGCAUAUAAUGGAUACUCACUAAAGACAUAUGGUAAGACUGAAUUUUCCUACUUCCUGGAAGUUAGGAGAGCCCAAGGACGUGCUUCGGCCAACGAAACAUGAGUGGAAAUGAUGUGUGUUGCUUCCAGGUGGAAGUCUUUAAGAACCAGGGAAUAACUCACUAUGUUCCCUUCCCUUGAUGAUGUGACUGGUGAUGUUCCAGAUGGUGGAGGCUCUAAGAGACUGUGCCACCCACAUGGACGAGAACCCCCAGCCACACCAAGUAGGACAUGUGGCACAAGGGAAAGCAGCAGAAAUCCCAACUCAAGGUGACUUAAACCACAAGGAAAUUACUUUCUCAAAUAACAGGUGGGCCAGAAGCUGGGUGUUCUGCAGGAAGGUCCUGCAGCUCCUCAAGGACAAGAUCCUUUCCCUCUGCUUUGUAUAGCGCCAGCCUCAAACCAAAGCUGGGUCCCUUCAAAGUCAUGAGGUAGCUGGUGCACCAGUCGGGAAAGACAGCUGGUUCCUUCUCCUACAUGAAGUAGAGAGCGACUGUAAUGCUGGAAAUAUCCACAUGAUUGUCCAGACGUCGCUGAUAAAAAUUGCCUGUGAUGCUUGUUAAAAAUCCAGAUUUCCAGACCUUUGCCCUGGAAUUCCCACUCCAGUAGGGCUGCUUGCACCCAGGAAUCAGCGCUUUCAACAAGCCCUCCUGUGACUUGUGUCAUCAGGGCAGUUUGGGAAACCUCUGUACACGAGUGUUGGUGGAGUUUGCCCAGCAUGAUGUCAAUAGUUCUUACCAUAUAUUACAGAGGUUGCCGCAUUCUGAUAUCGAAAAUGAUGCCCAUCUGAGACCCCCCCACCCCCCGCUCCUGAGUACCAGCUGGAACGCUCAAAGAAUCUCCACAGCAAAUGAUCUGUUGAUGUACUUCCCAAACGGACUGGGUCAGGAGCCUGUUCUAACUAUCCCCACCGCCCACCCACACACCCAAGGAACACUCGAGGAGCUGGUCUUCCACUAAGACUCUUUGGGAAAUAAAGAACAUGCACCAAAAUCGAUGCUCGCAGACAGAAUGCAUCUGAGCUGUCUUGGUGUGGGGAGGUCAGCCAAAGCCCCUCACUCUUCCUCCCCUGUAGGUCCUUGUUUCCUCUGGAUCCAGUAGCCCAGUCAGGCAGGCCCCUGUCUUUGCUUUACCUUCUUGUUCAUCCUUGUCAACGCUCUACCCCUCCCCACUAAAAUGCAGUCCUUAACAAGCCCGUCUGCUCACGUGAAACCAGGCUGCUUCAAUUCCAAGUGACACCUCCACUGGAAAGGGCUGGCAGAGGCAGCCUCACCUCUCCUUGGUGUAUGUGUAGAAGAACCAUGAGCUGGGGAGUGAGCCCACUGUGAUCUUGCAGGGCAGUGGAGGAGGAGGAAGAUUGACUUUCAAGGAAAGCUCUUUUGGCUUCUGAGCUCUCGUUUACCUGGCUUUGUCCCUCUUUCCCUGGCCAGUCCUGCUGGAUGCUGACUGUGGCCCCCCCUAAGAUCAGGCCAGCCCUGAGAUAUCAUUCGCUAAAGGGACAUGGCCCAGGCAGGAAUCGAUGGCUGCUAUUGAACAAAUGGGCCUAGCACAGCUCCUGGCUAAUAGUAGGUGCUCCAGCCCCAUAAAACCACAUGGUUGUUUGGUCUCCAAGGAGCAUGGCCUGCACAAACACAAUUAAUGAGUCAAAAGUAAUAAAAAGGAAUGGAGUUGCUUUCUUCCUGUAUUUUGAAAACAAGAAAGAAGAUACUGGUCCUUUCAAGCCUUAUUGCAAUCCCAUUUCUUGUCUUCUACCUUCCCCAGACCCUGCAACUAUACUGGAACCACCCUAGCCCACGAUAUACGCACACACAC
Diceros bicornis minor is the source of this 2895-nucleotide long non-coding RNA. RefSeq lists it as uncharacterized. The record is from RefSeq and is a predicted model, not a curated record. The transcript is spliced from 6 exons. NCBI's taxonomy places the organism in Eukaryota, Metazoa, Chordata, Mammalia, Perissodactyla, Rhinocerotidae.